GAGUAUGAAAAUGUUUUAAAAAAUAAAACAGUCAUGUGAGCAGUGUUAUUUCUUAUGUGCUAUACAAAGAGUUGAAGGUUAAUUAGCAGUAUAACUAUAAACAGCAAUGCUGACAGUCUCCUUCAGACAAGA
Nycticebus coucang (slow loris) is the source of this 132-nucleotide small nucleolar RNA. The record is from RefSeq and is a predicted model, not a curated record. NCBI's taxonomy places the organism in Eukaryota, Metazoa, Chordata, Mammalia, Primates, Lorisidae.